RNAcentral lists this ribosomal RNA (468 nucleotides) under uncultured bacterium. Its description in RNAcentral is "partial 16S ribosomal RNA". It matches the Rfam family "Bacterial small subunit ribosomal RNA", at positions 28 to 507 of the family's 1533-position model. The record is from RNAcentral.
GACGAACGCUGGCGGCGUGCUUAACACAUGCAAGUCGAACGGAAAGACCCUGCUUUUGUGGGGUGCUCGAGUGGCGAACGGAUGAGUAACACGUGAGUAACCUGCCCUUGACUUUGGGAUAACUUCAGGAAACUGGGGCUAAUACCGGAUAGGAGCUCCUGCUGCAUGGUGGGGGUUGGAAAGUUUCGGCGGUUGGGGAUGGACUCGCGGCUUAUCAGCUUGUUGGUGGGGUAGUGGAUUACCAAGGCUUUGACGGGUAGCCGGCCUGAGAGGGUGACCGGCCACAUUGGGACUGAGAUACGGCCCAGACUCCUACGGGAGGCAGCAGUGGGGAAUAUUGCACAAUGGGCGGAAGCCUGAUGCAGCAACGCCGCGUGCGGGAUGACGGCCUUCGGGUUGUAAACCGCUUUCGCCUGUGACGAAGCGUGAGUGACGGUAAUGGGUAAAGAAGCACCGGCUAACUACGUG